UACGGAGGGGGCUAGCGUUGUUCGGAAUUACUGGGCGUAAAGCGCACGUAGGCGGAUUGGAAAGUUGGGGGUGAAAUCCCGGGGCUCAACCCCGGAACUGCCUUCAAAACUCCCAGUCUGGAGGUCGAGAGAGGUGAGUGGAAUUCCGAGUGUAGAGGUGAAAUUCGUAGAUAUUCGGAGGAACACCAGUGGCGAAGGCGGCUCACUGGCUCGAUACUGACGCUAAGGUGCGAAAGCGUGGGGAGCAAACAGG
This 253-nucleotide ribosomal RNA is filed under the name uncultured bacterium. Its description in RNAcentral is "partial 16S ribosomal RNA". It matches the Rfam family "Bacterial small subunit ribosomal RNA", at positions 524 to 776 of the family's 1533-position model. The record is from RNAcentral.